GUGGGCGUGCCGGAGUGGUUAUCGUGCAUGACUAGAAAUCAUGUGGGAUUUGCCCGUGUAGGUUCGAAUCUUGUCGCUCACG
This is a transfer RNA of Ipomoea nil (Japanese morning glory), 82 nucleotides long. It matches the Rfam family "tRNA". Rfam says of the family: Transfer RNA (tRNA) molecules are approximately 80 nucleotides in length. NCBI's taxonomy places the organism in Eukaryota, Viridiplantae, Streptophyta, Magnoliopsida, Solanales, Convolvulaceae. The record is from Rfam.